This is a long non-coding RNA of Hyaena hyaena (striped hyena), 1490 nucleotides long. RefSeq lists it as uncharacterized. Lineage: Eukaryota; Metazoa; Chordata; Mammalia; Carnivora; Hyaenidae. The transcript is spliced from 2 exons. The record is from RefSeq and is a predicted model, not a curated record.
UGACCCAGAGACAGUGAGAAGGCCAACGAUCGUUUGUCUUAAAUUGCUAAAUUUGGGCUUAAUCCUGGGCAGCACCAGAUAACUAAUACAUCCAUGCACUUUACCAAAAAGCCUUCUAUUUCCAAAGUCUCAAAGGAUGAUCCACACAGGAAAGUGGACUGCUUAAUCAAUCCUCAUUUUUGCCAAGAAGUACUUCCCAGUGUGGUCUCCUUCUAGUAACCAUUCUUGACUUUGUUGGACAGACUUCGGGCUGUUGGAAAAACAAAACAAAAACAAACCAACAGACAAAAAACCCCUACCUUCCAAAGAGGAAGAUUCACCACCACAAGGAAUACAAGGAAUACUAAAAAAGAAUAUGCCACAGCUUCCGAAGACAAUGUCACUUAGUUUCUGAUCUCUUUUCACCAAGGACCACAUCCCUGGAAUGAUUCUUCCAAGGUAUGAUAUUUCCUAUAUUGCACAGAUGAACACUGUUUUGCUGUAAACUAAAUGCUUUUGACAUUAUUUGAUUCUGCUUUGAUGCUUCUAGGGACAGAUGAGGCAUUUGUACCCAAUCUAAGAGCCCAAGCACCAGGUGGGGCCGGCCUUGUACCUCCAUAUGACUCCCGGCUGAUCUGUUCCUGAUUCCUCAAGAAUCGGGGGUCCAUUCUGCCACCCAUCGCAGCCAAUCUCCACCUCGGCCAGAUUUUGCUGCACCCAGUCCUGGAACCCGGACAAGGACCCACUGAUCUCACGGUUCCACCGACCAGUUGUGAGGCCCUUGCCUGGUGUAUAUUCCCAGUGAGUAAAAGCCUCCCCCACAGCACCAGGGGGCGCAAUAAAGGAGUGUCUUUGACCGCAGUUUCAACAGAGAUGCAAAAAAAUGGCAAUAAAACUUCUAGAAGUGACCCUUAAUAAUGCAGUCCUCGCUGACAGGCAGACUUUGAGCAAGGCAAUUUUUGAGCUGGUUUCAAUCAUAAAGGAGAAAGAUGAGGGAGUAUGGUGGCCAUGGUGAGACGAGACGCGGAACACCGCAAAUGGUGGCACUGAGGGCCCCUCACGGGUUCACACUUCGGCUUGUUGGGCCCCUAAGCUAUUCUCGCUCCCAUUUUACAAGGGAGGGAAGAGACCAGAGACAGAACGGCUUGCACACAGCAAGGGAGUGGCAGAGUGGGGGCAAACGCCAGAUGCUCAAGCCUGUUGGGCGGGUGAGAGGUAGGGCAGAGACGCCACAGAAUGGCCGACUUCUUAAGAUGGCUGACCUUCCCGCCAAUACAUCAGUGACCGUUCCGACUUCGGCGGGAAACAGAAACUUAGGCAAGAAACCAAAACCUCCCGCCCGGGACUUUCCAGUCAAGAGACCGCCCCUGUUACCUGGACUUGCCCACCCCCACCUACAGGUUAUAAAACCCCCCACCACGGAACCCGGGCGCGACUUCCCCGACUCCCCUCUCCUGAGUCGCUGGGGGCCUCGCCGGGGGUGCAUGCAAUAAAACUGCUCCUGCGGAACA